This 413-nucleotide ribosomal RNA is filed under the name Streptococcus cristatus. RNAcentral describes it as "bacterial SSU rRNA". It matches the Rfam family "Bacterial small subunit ribosomal RNA", at positions 73 to 471 of the family's 1533-position model. Lineage: Bacteria; Bacillati; Bacillota; Bacilli; Lactobacillales; Streptococcaceae. The record is from RNAcentral.
GAGGAGCUUGCUCUUCUUGGAUGAGUUGCGAACGGGUGAGUAACGCGUAGGUAACCUGCCUGGUAGCGGGGGAUAACUAUUGGAAACGAUAGCUAAUACCGCAUAAAAUUGAUUAUUGCAUGAUAGUCAAUUGAAAGGUGCAACUGCACCACUACCAGAUGGACCUGCGUUGUAUUAGCUAGUUGGUGGGGUAACGGCUCACCAAGGCGACGAUACAUAGCCGACCUGAGAGGGUGAUCGGCCACACUGGGACUGAGACACGGCCCAGACUCCUACGGGAGGCAGCAGUAGGGAAUCUUCGGCAAUGGACGGAAGUCUGACCGAGCAACGCCGCGUGAGUGAAGAAGGUUUUCGGAUCGUAAAGCUCUGUUGUAAGAGAAGAACGAGUGUGAGAGUGGAAAGUUCACACUGGG